GUACUCCUUUUGGGAAGGAGGGUGCUGCAAUCCUGAAACCAAAAAAACACCCAAAUCAGGGUCACAAACUGUGCAGAGGUGGAUGUCGUUUUCUUGGAUUUUAGUAAGGCCUUCGAUAUGGAAUCUCAUCCCAUUCUCAUAAAUAAAGAGGCUGUGACAUAGAUGUUUACAUGGUCUGAAGACGGAAGAAUCUGAAGCAGGUGAGAAGCAAGAGAAGUCAGAGGCUGUCUCGUGCAAAAGCCUUGCCACCAUGUUGCAGGAGGGAUAUGCCUGGCAGAGUUUCAGACUGCAUUCCUGGGCCCAAAUACCUGAAGAUGUUCUGUAUUCUGCAACAUUUGAAAGUACCUUUCCAACAUCAAGUCCUAAGUGUGUUGCUUUUCUGCAAAACUCUUGUUGGUCUAAUAAAAUAUGAUACCUCUACUACAAGUCCUGAUUGCUUGUUUUGUAAUCCAAUCAAAUGCAGUAGCAGUUCUAGCAUCACUAACAUUUCUG
This is a long non-coding RNA of Alligator mississippiensis (American alligator), 492 nucleotides long. RefSeq lists it as uncharacterized. The transcript is spliced from 3 exons. Lineage: Eukaryota; Metazoa; Chordata; Crocodylia; Alligatoridae. The record is from RefSeq and is a predicted model, not a curated record.